GCCGGGGGGGUGGCGGCGCGACGGAAGCGGACGCUGGCGCGAGAGAGGAGGGUGGCGAAGGCGCAUGCCAGUUGUGCCGUCGCCGCGCUACGAGUCGGGCAACCCCCGGGAUUCUCUCUCUCGCCCUUCUCGGCCGGGACAGGCCGGCGAUCGCGCGCGCGACCACGUCGUGUCGCGUCGUGCCGCCCGGGCGAUUCUCCGGCGCGGAUUCUUCGCGACUUCCGCCGGCCGGCUAAGCCGCCGCUUGCUCGCUCGCAGGUGCUCCGCAGGAGGCGCAGCUGCAAGUGUGCGUCGCCGACCGUGGCGGCUCCCGCGAGAGGAACCGGCCGCCCGCGAGCGGCGGCGACCUGGAGCCGCGCUCCAGGAGAGGAGGACUCGCCGGAGAAAGAGGCGGCAACGCACUACUCGUAUCGGCUGGCUCGUCUUCGAUGCGGAGACCGCGCCGUCAACAUGUUCGCAUGCCUGUGGAAUUUCUUCGACUGGCUCGACCAGCCGGUGACCAACUCGACGCCCGGGAUGGACAACAAGAAGAUUGUCCAGUCGCCGACGCCGCCCGUACCCGUCCAGGUACGUAGUAAGCACGAUGGCUCGGGGGUGGCGGCUUCUGUGUCGGGGGUGCGUAGACGGAGCGGCCCUCAAGGGCUGCGCUCGCCCGCCGCAAAAAGGCCCCUCUCCGCCCCCGUUGCACUUCAGGGCUGGUUACACAAGCAGGGCUCGGAGGGUCUCAUGCUCUGGAAGAAACGUUGGUUCGUGCUCUCCGAGUACUGCCUCUUUUACUACAAGGGCCCGGAGGAGGAGAAACUGCUCGGUUCGAUAUUGCUACCUUCGUACCGAGUGACCGUGUGCAAGCCGGAGGACAAAGUCAACAAGAAGUUCGCCUUCAAGGCCGAGCACGCGAACAUGAGGACUUACCACUUCGCGGCCGACAGCCGCGACAGCAUGAACCAGUGGGUGAACGCGCUGACUCUGGCGACUCUCCUGCAGGAUCCCAGCCCCGGUGCGGGCGAAGCCGCGGUGGUGAUCGAGAUAGCCGGGCAGCAGGACGGCGAGCGGAGCGCCAGGCCCAGCGUCUCGUCGAUCUCGUCGAUCCUGAACCAGAGCGCCGACGACAGCGACUCCGGCUUCCACGGCUUCCAGUCGCGCGACGACCCGAGCCACGCGUCCAACAACAACUCCAGCCCGAACAGCGCCAACACUGCCUCCUUCCCGAACCUGAGCGGCAGCAACAGCAACGGCAACUCCGCCGGCAACAACCACACGAGCGACUCGCAGUCGUCGCACCCGAUGAUGAACGGCUGGAUCCAGCAGUCGCCGCAGUACGGCCAGCCCGGCACCUCGCAGCCACCGCCGGCGCCGCCGGCGCCGUCGUCGCAGCAGCAGCAGCAGCAAUACGGCCACUUGCUGCCGUCGCAGCAACUGCAACCGGGCCACUCGCACCAGCACCAGGCGCUGCUGCUGCAACACCUGCCUGCGCAUCAGAACCCGGCGCUGCCGAGCGCUCACCAGACGUCGCACCCGCACAAGCACCAGGUGCUGCUGGUCCAACAACAGCCGCAGCCACAGUCGCAGCAGCAGCCGCAGCAUGCCGGCGGCGGCGGCGGUGACCGGCUGCAGACCGUCCAGCCCAUGUCCCGCAAGUUCGGCCAGCCGAUCUACGCGAACGCGCCGCCGAAGCCGAGGAGGCUGACCGACGGCUCCAACGAGUACUCGACGCCGUCGCCGUCGCCGGAUUACCGCAAGAGCCCGGUCUCGCCGGACGUCGUCACGGUGGCCAGCAAGAGCCCGAUGUCCGACUACGAGGCCGCCGCCGGCGGCGGCCGCAGCGCGAUCUACGCCGCGCGGAUCAACCAGCAGCCGUCGCAGCAGAGCCUGCGCACCGACAAGUCCGGCCUGAAUUACGGCUACGGCCAGACCCAGCCGACCGAGAGGAGGACUCCGGACACGUACGGCCGCAACGCGAAGCCCCGGCCCGCCGCCGGCAGGCCCAACGGCGACUACGAGGAGGUCUACGGCACCCCGCAGCUCUACCAGAGGCCCGCCGGCCCGGUCGGCUACACCAAGAGCACCGCGCCGGCGCCCAUCGCCAUCCCGCUCUAUGCGCAGCACCAGCAGCAGCAGCAUCUCCAGCAGCAGAUCAAGCCGCCCGUCACGCCGCCGACCGUGUCGAUGGUGAGACAAUCGUCCAGAGCCCAACCGCCACCGCGGCCACAUAGCGCGGACUUUCUCGAGUACGAGGCGGCGAGGAGACCCCAGCAACAGCCUGCGCAAUGCGAGAAACCCCCGAAUCAGCCGAGGCGCCCGCAGAGGCCCAAGUCUAGCUUGGACAUAGUGAACCCGUCGGACACGACCAACGACGGUUACUUUUACUCCGAGGAAAGGUACGCGGCGCAGAUGCGCCAGUCCGCGGUUUACCUGCACCAGACGCCUCAGCACUAUCAGCAGCAGAGGAAUCAGUCUCUGUCACGCGCGACGAUGCAGCCGAAACUGCCGGGCAUCCGCGACAAGCCCGACGAAAGUAGAGUAUCCACCUUGCCGGACUCGUCGUGCCCUGCGCUGAGGCGCUCGCAGCAGCGGGAUCACGUUCAUCAGCAGCACACGAUGCCCAGUCAGUCGCUGACGCAGAGACAUUCCGAGAUGCAGAGCGACCGACGUCGCUUCUCUCGGAUUCGAUCGGAGCGUCACGCUCGAGCGUUCGUUCCCACCAGGAUCAUGGGCGCCGAUCCGAAGCUGCGGAGAUCGCUGCGCGAGAAGAGCUGCGAGGCGAACGGCCGCGAGACGCUGGCGACGCACGUCGGCGGCGGCGGCGAUGACAACACGGUGCCCCGAAGAGUGCUGCCGCGCGAGUACGACGGGUGGGGAAGGACGACGGGCCACGGUGGCCAUGGCACUCACAUCUCACAGACGUGUCACGCCGGUUACGCAGGUGGCGGCAGGCGAUGGAGCGAGCAGCAGCAGUUCUGUAGAUCGGCGUCGGCGCGCCUGCCGAGGACGCGACAUCCGGCCGCCCUCGACCCGGACGACGACGACUACGCGGAGAGGUCCUCCGAGCAGGACUCGCGGGAUGGCGAGCGCAAGAUUCAGCAGCGCGAAGAGUCGAUGAAGCGGCUGCUGGAAUGGAAGCAGCGUAUGCUGCAGUCCCCGCUGACGCGCAAGCCGUCCGGCUCGGCGAACCGCGGCAGGGCGCAGAACGAUCUGUCGAGUUACUACAAGCAACAGGCGCUGCUGGACUUGGCAGCGCACGAGGCCGCCGUCGCGGAGGGCCGUCACUCUCGGCGGCGGGAGGACGGCCACCGCUCGCACAUCAGGAGCAAGAGCUCGGACGGCCGGCGGACCGCCGCCGCCAACGUGUCCCGCUACAACAGCUACUCCAGCGAUGACGAAGAGCUGGGGGAUGUCCGGAGGAAACGUACGCGCAGACCUUCGCAUGCAGGAAGGAGCCCCCGACACGCCGGCGACGACCGGCCACCGGCGACGUCGGCCGUCCAGGACGUCACGUUGCCCGCCGGCCGCACGAGCGUUAAUCAGCCGCACGGCCAAUCGCACAAGGCGCAGCUUAACGCUCGCUGCAGAGCCGGCCCGGGUGGAGGCGGCGCGCCCGUCGCGCUGUCCUCUCUGGGUGGCAUACCGCCGGACGCGGGUUACGACGAGGUGAGUUUCCCGCCGCCUCCGCCGCCACCGCCGCCGCCGCCGCCGCCGCCGCCGCCGCCGCCGUCGUCGUCGUCGUCGUCGUCGUCGUCGUCGUCGUCGUCGUCGUCGUCAAUAAGAAACGACGAGUACGCAUACGCAGCCGCGCUGUCGGCGGACAAGCGGUCGAGGAAACGGCCCGAGGAGGUCGCCUUCGAAGAAGCCGCGAUCAGGCACAAGAACAGCCCGCGGAAGCCGCCGGGAGGAAUCCUCAAGACCUCGAGCGUUUACGGUUUCGAGCGGCAAUUCGUCGACGGCGGCGACAAGACGGAGAACAGCGACGGCGGCGGCGGGCUGUGCGGUUAUCGCGCGGCCGACGCUUGGCACGUGGCGAAGAACGUGCAGUGGGACGCCAAGGAGGACAACGACGAGUGGGGGGACCCCGGCAUCGACGAGAGCAAGGUCAUCAAGGAGUUCUCUUACCAGUACAUCAGGCCGAAGGAAGCCGGCGACGCCAAAACGGACGAGAGGCAUGAGUCGAUGAACCUGGUGCAAUGCAGGAUCCGCUCGUUCGAGAUGAACCUCGACGGCGCCGCUUCCGAGAAGGAGGUGCUGUCCAUGCAGGAGCCGCUGAAGGUGUCGCCGUUGCAGGCGAUCGAGGCUCACAUCUCGAAGCUGGAGUGCUCCAACUCGAAGACUUCGUCCGUCAUACGCAGCUUCGCGCUCGGCGACCCGAACGCCGCGGAGAACUCUUCUAGGUACAAGAGCGUCGAGCAAGGCCACUCCAAGCAGGCUUCCAGCGACAGCAACAAGUCGGUGAAGGACCUGUUGGCGGACUUCGAGCGCAAGUCGCAGCAGGCCAACUGGCAGAAGUGCGAGAAGCGGCAGGAGGCGAAGCACCACGCCGAUCAUUGCGAGAGCGAAGCACUGCGCUACGCCGCCGCGAUCGGCAGCUUGGACCGCCGAGGACACAGGAGAACCUGUGUCGAGCGGGAGAAGCUCAUCAUGGACAAGGACAGCGACGACAGGGACGAAGAUCAGGUCGCGCAGUGUUUCACUGUGGACACCCUGUACGCAGAUGUUGGCAAGCAAAUCGACGGCUCCUCGAGGCAAGGUAAGCCGAUCGCCUCGGAGGACGGUCUAGCUGAGCGAUGCCUGCCGAGGCCCGCCGACAUGGACAUCGUCGUCUCGCCGGGUUCGCCGACGCGCGACAGGACUAGCGUGACCGAGUCCUUGCUGACGCACGGCGACCAGUUCUCCGGCGACAGUGACCAGCCGACCAGCUGCAUCUCGAAGCAGGACGACGCGAGUGUCGAGGAUCAUUACCUGCCUAUGACGCCCAGGAAAGCCAUACUCGACCCGAACGGCGACGACCGGCCGAACCCGAAGAUCAUGGAGAGCCUGUUCGCCAAUCUGGAGCACGAGGAGAGCUCUUACGUGGAGAUGUCGCAGAACGGGAUGAGUCGCUCGUUGCUGGCGCCAAACGGAGACGGCGACAAGCACGAUUCCGGCGACUACUCCACCCUGGACACGUCGCACUAUGAGCUGGUGUGCGUGUCGGACAGCAAGAUGGAGCCGGUGUACAUGGAGGUGAGCCAGUUGUCUGAGAAGGAGGACGAAGAGAGCGGCGGCGGCGGCGGCAAAAUGUCGACGAGGCGAAACAGCGCCAACGACGGCGCGACGCAUCCCCGAGCCGACCUGCCCGACAUUCUGACGGCGCUCAAGUCCGACAGUUCCGACGCCGACGACGAGUCGUCCAAGGACUUGGACUCGAUCGACGCGCCGCGGCACCCGCGCUUCAGCCUGUCCGACACUUUCCGGCCCGCGUCUUACUACCUGGGCGCCAGCCGCAACAUGAUCGCCGAACUGCACGACUCGUCGGACAGCGAGCUGGUGUCUCCUCCGCCGAUACCCACCUCCCCGCCUCCCCUGGACGACCUGGACUCGUUGGAGAUGCAGGAGUCGUUGGAGAUGAAGAAGGUCUCGCCGCAGGUGGCCACGGGCAAGGACAACGUCGCGCUGAGUCGCGACUCGCCCAAGUCCUGGAGCAAGCCGUUGGGUCAGGUGGAGGCGCACAGGCCGCCGUCGCGCUUCUCCGACGCGACCAUCAGCUCCACCUUCAGAGGCAGCAGGAUAUCGCUGGAGAGCACGUCAGGCGGCAGCGACACGGUCGAGCUGAGGAACGACGAGGAGGCGCGGCACAGGCAACUCAAGAGAAGACCCGUCAGCGACGACGUAUGCGGCGCCCUCGACAGCCUCGACGAAUACGAGUCGUUGAGCAGCCGCUUCGACGGCACGAGCAUUGACCUCGAUCAGUACCUGGAAGAGCUGCAGGCCCGGGACGCCUUCAACGUCGACCUCUACGCCAAGGAUCUCAGUUACAACAGCAUCUACGGCUUCAACGAGAACAUGCUGGUGGUGGACAAAUUGCAGAAGACCACUCACUGCCAGGACCUCACUAGGAAGAUGAAGCUGAUGUCGAGCAACCUCGACCGGCCGUUCGACUACGCCUGUAAGAACAAGACCGGCUCCGCGAGCAGCCUGCCGUCCAUGAGGGUGUCGGACCUGCCGCCAGCCCACCAACACUCGCAGUCCUUCACCGGAGACGCGCACUACGAGAACAUCACGAGCUUCUCGCCGCUUCGGGGCUCGCCGGCGAUCCGGCCGGACAGCGAACCGCCGCGCGACAACAACGUCGUCCACCGGCUGCAGAGCGCGCCGCAGAACGGCAGUGGCGGCGCGCUCGCCAUCUCGCACAGCAGGGACUCCAGUUACUCGCUCGCGUCCGCCGCGGCGUCCAUCGCGACGUCCAUGGCCUGCCAGAGGCCCGCCAGCGCGCAGUCCUUCAUGUACUCGCCCGUCAGCUCCGUGUCGUCGGUGAAUCACGUCGCCCUCGCGGCCAACCAGCUGCAGCAAAGCAACGUUGCCGCGGCGAGUCCCUACGCCGGCGAGCAGCCUCGUUUCCCGAAUCACUCGCGCUCCGCCAGCCAUGAGCUGUACGUGCGGCACACGCUGAUGCCGACGCCGAGCCACCAUCGCUCCACGUCCAGCCAGGACUGCAGUCAUUACCCGUGCUCGUUGGCGCCGCCGCCGCCGCUGCCGCUGCCGCCGCCACCGACGACGACACCGGUGUCGACGUCGUCGCAGAGCGUCGUCAAGCAGUCGGUGCUGCAGUCGUACCUGCCGAACGCCGGCGAGCAACGUGUGCUGACCAGUGCCGACCAAACCGGCGCGCCGUAUUACUACUCCGAUCUCCAGGCCAGCGUGAACAACGUGAACACCGAGCUGGCCAAGCCGACGAUCGGUCACAGCUCGAGGUUACCUCAGCUGAACAACCAGAGGGACGACGCGAGCGGCUUGAACAAGCGGAACGACAUCGGCCGCAUAGUGAACCCGAUCGCGCGGCAAAUGCCGCGGCGCAUUCAAGUGGACGACAUCGAGGAGGCGAGGCGCAUCGCCGCCGAGCUCAGGCGCACCACCUGCCAGUUGCUGGCCGACAACAAGGCCGCCCUCGUGGACAAGAGGAACUUCUACGAGGCGGACACGCUGCGUCGCGUCAAGUCCAUCGACCCGCUGCCGCCGGACGUGUCGUUGGCGGAAGUGAACGCCAGGAACCUGUACCCUCACGGUCUCAGGGAUAAGUCCGCUGAUCCGGUCACGGCCAGCACCGGCCACACUGCCGAGUCCAUAGCGUAUAUCGCGCAGGCGUCUCAUCGUAGAUCGAGGUCCCUGGAGGGACUGCUCGACGACGUCGGCCUGCAGAAUUUGAUGGAACAGCGUAACCGAGCGAACCGCUCGGCGGCGGCGGCGGCGGCGGCGACGGCGACGACGGCGGCCGCUACCGCCGCCGCGUUCUCGGCCGCUUCGGUCGACCAGCUGGAGGCGCCGAGGCAGAGCCUCGCGUUGGCAGCCGGCGACCACGCGGCCGUGAACGACAGCGUGAACUUCCAUGUGGACGACCCUUGGGAGCAGGACACCCUCUGGUGCGAGAAUCUCCGGAGGGUGAGCCUGCGAAACGCGCGUUCGCUGGAUAACCUGGACAGUCCACCGCGAGCCGGCGGCGGCUCCUCCUCCGGUGACUCCAAGUCACGCAGCAGGAUCACCCGCGGAGCGACCUACGUGAACGACAGCGUCGUCCUGCGCAGGGAUCACUGCGCGGACGAGCCACGCGGUGAACGAGCGCGAGUCAAACGCCGAACGAACAAGGAUCGCGAUCAUCUCGCGCGGGAACGCGCGGCGACGUUGGUCGACGACGACGACGACGACGACGACGACGAGGACGAGCACGAAGACGUGGACGAUGACGAGAACGACGUCGUCGCCACCUACGAGACCCUGUCGAUGGAGCGGAUCGGCGCUGGCGGUUACGUGUGGGACCCGCAGAACGAGGCCUACCGCAAGCCCAGCAGCCGCGCGGCCGACGCGACGAAUCAUUUUUUAGAAGACGGCAACCUUCCCCCGGCUCGCUCGAUAUCGGACGCCCGAAUGUCCGCGGCGUCGUUCGAGCUCGACCGAGAGAAGCUCCGCCAAUGGGACUUGUUGUCGAGCGCCUGCUUGCUCCAGGAACAGCAGCGCACCUCGAUGGCGGACUCGGGGCGAGGGUUGCCGCUCGCGGAACAUCCUGGAGACGCGCUCGAUUCAAGGCACGCUGUCGUCGCGCCGUCGUCGACGACGACGACGACGACGACGACGACAGCAACGACGUCGACGAUGAUGAAGACGACCAUGACGACGACGUCGACCAUGACAACGACGACGACGACGACGACGACGACGACGAUGACGACGAUGACGACAGAUACAGUGAUCGACAACGAGCGGUUAGACGUUGUCGCAAAGCUCGAUACCGCGGACGUGCGCAAUGUCUUGCCGAUGAGGACGAUGCCGACCAAGAAGGUGCAAGAGCCGAGGGAGCCGUGUAAACGGGCUGCAGCGUCCGGCUCGGGCUCCGUCAUAGGAAGGGAUCCGCUUCCGCCGAGGGCCGUCAGCACGUCUCAUCUGCCUCAAAGAACGCUGACUCAAGCGCCGACGGUAGUGUCCACUCUUCCGUUACCGAGAAGCAGCGCCGCCGGCCAUCAUCGGCAGCAGCCGCUUCCGCUCCAUCACUCCACUCCUCAGCACCAGUCUCUCAGACAGCUGGAGGACGAGCCGGCCACCUCGCAGAUGCUCAGGGCCGCCAGCAACGGCGACAUCCGCAGAGGCCCCGGCAUGGUUACCGGCAACGAGAUGAAAGACCUGAGGUUAGCAUCGCCGGGCGGUCAUUCCACUCAGCGAUUGAUCAGUCCGGUCGGACACUUGCGGGUCGCCUCGUUGAACGACCACCGUGUGUCCAGCCCGAGCGACAGCGAGAUACGCGUGCACAGUCCGAGCGAGAGAAAAAUGAUCAGCCCGAUCGGCAGGGAAGUCGACCGCGGCGGAGGCGCGACGGCGGGUCAGCGGCAAGGCCAGCAGCAGCAGCAGCAGCAGCAGCAGCAGCAACGGGCGCGGGACUGCAACGAGCUGCUGCAUAAAAGGAGUAACGUCAGCUCCCAGAGAGCGGAUGCUGGCGGCAGGGUGACGCAAGCUGGCGCUUCCGGCCUGGUGCGCGUGUCCGCCGGCGAGCUCCUCGGCAGGACCCACGAGGAAUUGGUGCUGCUGCUAAUCCAGCUGCGACGGCAGAACGCGACGGUCCUCAAGGCGAUGGAGACGUGCCACAUGGAGAUCGAGGCGCAGGCUAGACUGGCGGAGCUCGACACGCCGAGACGGCUGGAGAAUCUUCAGAAGCUCGAGGAACUCAAGAGACACCUGAUGGAUCUUGAGAAGCAGUACGAGAAGAGCAAGCCUCUCGUGAACCUCGUGGACAACAUGGUGAAACUGGGCUCCCUGUACAACCGCAACACUGCCAACGGGACCAGCAACGCUCCCGGCUCUCGGCACGAUCCGAUGCAUGAGAACGCGAGGGAUCACCGCGACCGUCUGGAGUUCAACCAGAGGGUGCAGGAGCAACGGCUGCUGGCGGAGGAGCGCAGGGACUGGGAUCGGCUGAGCCCGGAUCACGGGCAGCUGCAGGCCAAAGUGCAGCAACUCUACAAACUGGAUCGAUUGCUUCAAGAGGAAUCUGGCACGCUGCACAGUCUCCAACAAGACAAGGAAAUACUGGAGAAGGCUCUGGGCGGGCUGCGGCACAAACUGCAAGGCAGCAGGAGCAAUUUGGCCGAGGCCGAGCGAUAUCGGAAGCAGCAGCUCCUGCUGGAGCGCGAACUGAGCAGGGUGCGAGUGCUGCUCGCUCACAACUCCAAGGUAAAGCCGGUAUUCUUCCAGAAACUCGAGGAAACGGUGGCGGAGAACGCGAGAUUGGAGCAGGACUUGGUCGUGCUCAGGCAGAAGCUGCAGGCUUCCCGCAGAUACGCCGGCAACAUAACCCGAGACACCUCGAGUACUACCGCGCCAUUGGAGGCGGAACUAAGGCGAGUGCAGCAGCUCGUGGGCGACCUGCAGAGGCAGCGGAAGGAACUGAGCAUUCAAGUUCGCCAAUUGACGGAGAAAUCGCACAGUUUGGUGCAGCAAAUACGCCCGCAGGCCGCGCACGCCCCGCAGGUGCACCACCCGAAGAAGCGCACGCAGAACUCCUGGCUGGAGACCGACCUGGACUCCGGAAUAACCCUGGACCACGGCCUGGACUCGUCGUCGAGCCCGCCCUUGUCCGCGUCGCCUCCUAGCAAGCACAACGACAAUCCUCACCAACGCUACGGCUCGCCUACGCAAUACAAAGACUCGUCGCCGUUGAGUCGCCAUCCGAAUCAACAGCCCUACGCGCAGCCCUCGCAGAAUCACAUAUCGGCGCUGUCGCCGCAGCUGCGCGAGCAGAUCCAGCAACAUCAAUUGAAGCAACAGCUGCUGAAGGACCAGAUGCAGGGCAAGGGCAGCACGAUUCAAGUGGCGCCUCUCUACGUCAACACGGACUCCAGGGUGCCGGGUGAUUACAUCACCGACACGAGCAAGCACAACGGAAGCGUGCUGAACGGCGCGCCAAAUCCCGCUCCGGAAUACAUCCCGCCGCCGCCGCCGCCACCGCUGAGCGAGGAGGCACUGCUGUUGAAUGACAAUUACAGACAGAACGAGGACAACAAGUUCGCCGGUUUGAUGCACAAUCGCGAGAAGCAAGAGAUCAAGACGGUGCGCAUAGUGAAACGCGAGUCGGAGAGACGACAGAGGGACCGCGGCGACAGGACCGGCAACCUUGGGAUCCCGCUGACGAACGGCCUUCAGGCACCGGGUGGUGCCAAGAGACUGUGCGACGAUGACUUGGGAGGCUCCCAAAAAUUCGAGAAAGCGCAGCUGGGCAGGGUGGUGGAAGAGUCGCCGAUCGUCCACGCUCAAAGCACGGUUCAGCUGUCCGAGCUGGACGACGUUCAGUUCCAGAGGAGCAUGUCCCUCCCGCGCGGUUUCGGCGGGCAAAAGCAGCACUCCGGGGUGCACUACGGACCGGUGGUCCCUCCACCGCGCAGCGACAGCAUGCACGCCCUGAAGAGCAUGAUGGCACGACGGCACAAAAUCAGGUUCGAAAGUCACGACGGCAGCUCCGAUAGCACUUUGUCGCCGUACACGGACAGUACCACGUCCAGUUCUCACAUGGCGAUGAGCUCGCCCAACUACUCCACCACGUCGUCGUACAGCCCGAGCCAGAAUCCGAGUUACCCGCCGCAAACCGCCGCCGCGGCGCAGCCGCACCAUUACUACAACCCGCCCGGGCCUUACCGGCACUACGACGGUGCGGCGUCGUCGUCGAUCAGGCCGCCGGGCAUCCUCGCGGGCGCGAUGAGCCCCGAGCUAACGUCGCCGACGAACGUUGGCGUGCACGAGAGACCGGCGACGGCGAUCGCAGCGAUCGCUUCGGGCGCGCCGAGCACGAAGACGUCCGAGUCGCCGCAACUGUCGCCGGUGUUCAAGAGCGAGGCCGCCAAACAGAUAAUCAAAGAGAUGACGGAGAAGAGGGUGGAAGGGCCGCGACGAAGGCAGAUCCCGCGGGAGAAGAGGCGGCACUACACCGUGUCUAGUAGCAAACCGGUGCUCGACUUACAGGACACUUUCUCCAAGAUGGGCAUGGGUAGAGCCAGGGACGACUUGGACAUGGAGAGAGCGCUGAGACCGAGGAUAAACGCUCCCGACGUCGUGCGAUCGACGUUGAGCCACAAGGAGCUAAAGUACAAUGAGAGCACCAUAGACCAGCUGUUGGGCACGCCCAACAAAAUCGUCAUCCCCGAGCGGUAUAUUCCUGAACAGACGCCGGAAUUGACGGCGGAGGAGCAACAGCAACGCUUGAAGAAGGCUGAGGCGAUCAGGAAGAUGCUCUCGGAGACGACCGUGACCGCCCCGGAAGGAGGUGACGACGAGUCCAAUGUGGAGAAGUCAGACACCCUGAAGAGGAAAGUGGUGGAGGAAAAGCGGCAGCGGGAGCACAUUCUCCAGCUGAAUCAGAUAUUGGCGAAGCAAGUGAUGGAGAAAAGCAAAAUGGUAGCGGGUAACCAGGCACACUGACUGACAUGCUUACUCCAUCCUUCCUCCUCUAUAGGACACGCACGUCACGUUAUCAUUUUCAGUGAAAGCUCUGGCAACGCUACCGCUGAAAACCGAGUCGAGCUUAGACGACGAGGACCUCUCACCCGUGGCUCCCUUGCCGCUUUAUCAGCAAAGAGAGAACUACUAUUCGUAAGCUGCUCCUAAGAGCGCGAAGAACCCUACUGCCAAUGCGAGGACGAGAGAAAGCGAGAAAGAGAGAGAGAGAGAGAGAGAGAGAGAGAGAGAGAGAGAGAAAACACGGAGGAACGUUCCUCUCCGGCGCGCUUAGUUUAAGAGGAAACUCGCGCGGGAAUUCGUGCGCUCAGCACCGAGCAAGCCCUUUCUUUCAUUCGCACCUCGAGAGACUGUACAUAAUCAUCGACUAAAUAAAACGAUAACAAAAGUAGCUGUGACAUAUUCGUUAAACGGUUAAGGAGCUCGUGUGACGCGGCGUCACGAGAGAACGUCGAUUGCAAGCUCACGGACUGUAAUUUCCGCACUUGCCGUGUGCGACGCGGAGAGCGGAGCGGACGCUCACCGCUCUCUCUCUCCGUGUUAUAUAUCAGACUGCGAGACAGCGAGAGAGACCUCGAUCUCGCGACGACCGCUUGUCAUUUUUUUACACCGACCUUUUACAUUCGACGCUGGGUGAGCGAGAGCGGCUGCCGCCGCCGACGUCUCGCAUACGAAAACGAAGUCACUCUUCCGCGCGACGGAUUUUCACGUCGACGCGCGGACUUUGGGAAACCUUUUAUCGCGUCUCUAUGCGCGCAACCGUGAAAGUUCUCUACACUUUUUUCGAAUCGAUGUAUGUAUUUAGAAAUGUAACGAGAGAGAGAGAGAGAGAGAGGGAGGGAGAGGGAGAGACGCGCUCGGUGCUCCUCGACUAGGAAGACUCCGACUCCGACGCGCGGUCGCGCGUCGUUUUACGUACAAUCAUUUUCACGAUGCGAAAGCACUUUUAUAUGACCGCGAGCGACGCGGUCGCGCGGACCGCCACCAAAGUCUGAGCGCAGCAGCAGCAGCAGAAGUCGUAGAUCUCGAACGGCGCGGGACGAGAGCUCGUCGUUCGAGCGACGCGACGUGCGAGCGUCGCGAGUUAUUGGAGGCAGGGAGAGAAGGAAGAGAGUCGAGCGCGGGAGAUAUCAAUAUAUCAGCGCAGCGCGCGAGACGCCCUUAAGGGGGGGAAUUACAUGCGGAAGACCGUUUUCGAGUCUGUUUUUACGAAUUCUUUCAACAGAAACAGUAAGAGCAAUGGACUUGAAAUUUCCACAGUGUAUUCAUUAACGUCCAAAAUAUAAAAUAAAUUUGGUUGAAUCACAAGAACCGAUCCAAUUUGCAAUUGUAGAUAAAAAUGCAGUCAUCCGUUUGCGAGCUCUAUGUUUGCUGUCAACAUAAUUCCAGAUCUCUCACUACUCUGAAACUAACUAGUAAGAAAGAUUUUUAAAAUGUUCGACUGCCCAUUAUAGCCCGUAGCAAAAUGAAGCCAGGUUUGGAAGAAUAAUGACUGUAAAAAAAAAUAGUAUCGAAAAUGAAACUUUUUUCAACUUGUAAUCAUGUUUAAAAAAAUGAAUAAAAUAAAAUAUAACUGUGUUCGAGAUAGGUGCGAAAACUGCAUGUCUACUGUAUAUUGCGCAAAAAUUUCAAGUUAUUCGGUUCAAUAUUUCUCUUGCGUAAUCGUGUCGACAGUUUGAGAAAAUGGUGUUUCCAGAUAAACGCGAUUAAAGUUUUAUGCGUACUUUCCAUAUGGAUAGUAACAAAUUUAUUUUAUACCUUGAACAUUAGUGAGUACACUUUUGAAAAUUUCCAAAAGUCCAUUGAUCCUACCGUUUCUGUGAAAAAUAUUCAUGAAAACAGCGUUGAAAGGCGACUUGCUCCGCGUGUAAUUUCGCCCUUGAGCGCGUUGAGAGAUCGAGCCUCGAUAGGGAUCUUACUCGCCGAACUCGAUUAUCGGAGGGACAGGGGCUCUCGGAUCCCGAGGGAUUCGCCGAGCGCGGCGUGAUUAGCGUGUAAACUAGAUUGUAAGGAGCGCAUGAUACACACGCUUGCGAGACGCCCGUUACUGUUAGCGUUGUACGCGAUUUGCCACGGGCCAUUUUAUAGCAUGGCAUCUUAAUGUUUAGAGCAGAGAGUUGCGUAACGCAGAGAGUCGCGCGGGACGGAGGUGUGUGCCAAAUAGUCGCGGCGGCCGGCGACGAGCGAUCGAGCUCGCGACCGAAGCAACCGAAGUCGAUCGUCGAUCGACGGACCGCCGCCGUCCUCGGGAGAACGAGAAACGCGGAGCAACGCGGGUAAACGCGCGCCGACGGCGACGAGGCCGUAAGUCUGACUGUAAAAAGGAGUCGCGAGACGCGCUCGCGCGCAACAUCGGCGUGCCUCUCGUUUCGUUCGCUCGACCCGACCGGGUUUCAUCCGGACUCGUCGAACCGGACUCGAGACCCGCUCUCGUUGAGAUGCGUUCGUAACGGCCGGCGUAAAUACCGUCUCGCGAACGGCAGGGAGGAGAAUUCGGCCCACGGUCGAAUUGGCUCCCCUUAAUCUGACCGGAUUAAUUAAUCCACCGGCGGCUUAAUUCGUCAACGCGGAAGCGAAUUUCCGCGGGCGAGAUUGCGAGGUUCGGAUCAGGCUCGAUCGGCUCGAACCUUCGUCCGGUCGAGCCAGGCCUACGUCGAGCUGUUGUCUCGUCGAUCACUGUACCCCUCUCUAGCAUCAAUUUUUCUUUCCCUUUAUAUUUCGUUCGUCGAGAGAUAUAUUCUCAAUGUGGUAACCGCUUGCGCGCUCGCUUUUAUAGCUAUAACGUCUCAGUUGUUUGUAGAAAUUAAUUUCGGAUUAUUAACCCUUCGGUGGUGCGAAGCGUCUGUCAGAUCAGCCUGUCUACCUGAUCUCUCCGCGCGUUGAGGCGCAGAAAAAUUGGAGAUUUAUUGUACCUCACUCUCUUCGCAAUAAAUUUGUACAUAGACAUAGGCAUUAUGCACGCGUUUGUUUAAGUGUACACCUUCGCUCGCGUUAGUGCUCGUCGGAAAAGGGAGAUUUCUUUCGGGCUGCUGUCGACAAGGAAUUACAAAACCGGCAACCACCGAACAGUUAAUAAUAAUAAUAAUAAUAAUAGUUAUAACAAUAAUAAUAACGACAACAAUAACGAUAAUAAUAAUAGUAAUAAUGAUAAUAAUAAUAAUAAUAAUAAUAAGAAAGAGGCGGAGGCGUUCCUCCAUUCCCAGGCAGCGCAAGACUUUCCGGAAUCAUCCUGAGUGUGUCCAGGAUGUUCCCCAGGCGAGCGUCCUGAAACCGUCUCGACCCGAGAUGUGAUCUCAGGACACUGUGCCAUCUGGGUUUUAUAAUCACCAGCGGCACACACGUACACAAACAUACACACACACACACACACGCAGGAAAUCAUGAAGAAACUCAUUAUUUCCCAGAGACUAUAGACUCACCCCUCCUCCCUCGAGUAUCCACCCCGGUGUUGGAGAAAUAAUGAUGACGAUGACGAUGCUAAUGAUGGUUACGAUGAUGGACCGGCGCCCUUUAUUGAGUGUCUCUCCCUUCUUCGUUUUUUAGAUGUCCAAUCCCGUGUGGCACGCAGUAUCACUCGCGGCGAUUUAGCCAUUAGGCAUUCUACACGUUCUCGGCCCCCCCCCCUCCCCUCCACGAGUUCGUAGAGAUAAGUUUUUAUAACGACGAUAAUAUUACCCGCGCGCGUGUGACACAAUCCGCGAUCGUCGCGAUCGCGCGCGCGGCGGGACACGCGAAUUAUUGUAAAUACAAUUUUAUCGUGUACGCGGCGAUAACGCGACGCGACGCGCGACGAAACGACUGACGCGAAAACGAGCGGCUGCCUUUUCGCGAUCGCGCGCCGCAACUGAAGUUCGCCGCGCGCCACGUACCGACGUCGAGAAUCGCAGCGCGAGCGAGCGAUCGACCGAUCGAUCGGUCGGUCGGCGCGCAAUCGAUAUCGUUUCGUCGCUGAUCUCAAACGGUGGCGCGAACCGGCUCGCAGGAACCACGGCAGACGCGCGCGCGGCACCGAUGCGAUACUCUAUUCGUAUAGGCCAGGACACUACGCGAAUUAACACGAGAACAAGAACUGUUAUUGUUAUAAUGAUGAAAUAAAAAUCGUACGACGAA
RNAcentral lists this unclassified non-coding RNA (16287 nucleotides) under Harpegnathos saltator (Jerdon's jumping ant). RNAcentral's name for it is "uncharacterized LOC105183037, transcript variant X8". Lineage: Eukaryota; Metazoa; Arthropoda; Insecta; Hymenoptera; Formicidae. The record is from RNAcentral.